This 435-nucleotide ribosomal RNA is filed under the name Milichus apicalis. Its description in RNAcentral is "partial 16S ribosomal RNA". Lineage: Eukaryota; Metazoa; Arthropoda; Insecta; Coleoptera; Scarabaeidae. The record is from RNAcentral.
CAUGUCUUUUUGAAAAUAAUUUAAGGUCCGGCCUGCCCUCUGAUGAAAAUUGAAUGGCCGCGAUAAUUUGAUCGUGCAAAGGUAGCAUAAUAAUUAGUUUCUUGAUUAGGAACUGGAAUGAAAGGUUAAACGAAAAAAAAACUGUCUCGAUUUAAUUUUAAUUAGAAUUUUAUUUUUAAGUAAAAAAGCUUAAAUAAAUUUAAAAGACGAGAAGACCCUAUAGAGUUUUAUAUUUAUUAUUUAAUUUUUUAGUUUAAGAAUUUAAUUUUAAAAUUAUUUAUAUAAAUAUUUAAUUGGGGUGAUUGAAAAAUUGAAUAAACUUUUUUUAAAAAUUAAACAUUGAUGUAUGAUUAAAUGAUCCAUAAAUAAUGAUUAUAAGAUUAAAUUACCUUAGGGAUAACAGCGUAAUUUUUUUUGAGAGUUCUUAUCGAAAAA